GAUGAAGAACGUAGCGAAAUGCGAUACUUGGUGUGAAUUGCAGAAUCCCGUGAACCAUCGAGUCUUUGAACGCAAGUUGCGCCCGAAGCCAUUAGGCCGAGGGCACGCCUGCCUGGGCGUCACACGUCGUUGCCCCCCCAUCUACUCCUUCGGGAUUGCGGGGGGCGGAUGAUGGCCUCCCGUGCGCCUCGUCGCGCGGUUGGCAUAAAUGCCAAGUCCUCGGCGACGCACGCCACGACAAUCGGUGGUUGCGAAACCUCGGUUGCCCGUCGUGUGCGGUCGUCGCGCAUCGAGGGCUCGAAAAAAUUGCCGGGCUCCGGCUCGGCUUUCAACGCGACCCCAGGUCAGGCGGGGUUACCCGCUAAAUUUAAGCAUAUCAAUAAGCGGAGGA
This 391-nucleotide unclassified non-coding RNA is filed under the name soil metagenome. Its description in RNAcentral is "partial contains 5.8S ribosomal RNA, internal transcribed spacer 2, and large subunit ribosomal RNA". The stretch from base 1 to 122 matches the Rfam family "5.8S ribosomal RNA", at positions 35 to 154 of the family's 154-position model. The record is from RNAcentral.